Long non-coding RNA from Papaver somniferum (opium poppy), 3146 nucleotides. RefSeq lists it as uncharacterized. The transcript is spliced from 2 exons. Lineage: Eukaryota; Viridiplantae; Streptophyta; Magnoliopsida; Ranunculales; Papaveraceae. The record is from RefSeq and is a predicted model, not a curated record.
UUAGAGAGGGGGCCUCACAAUUUUUCAGUCUCUACUGUUUUUUCUGAAGAAGCUCUUGUUUUUCUAAUCGUUUCCUUGCGGAGCUUUUCUAAUCGUCGAAUCAAGUUAGGGUUUCUCUUCUUAGUGUCUUUUCGAUUUGUAUGAUUCAACAAGAUCAUGUUUAUUAAUUUUCUGAUUGUUUUGUAUGAUUAGUAUCAUGUUUGGAUCUUAGAUCUGGAUGAUAUUAUGUUAAGGAAUUCUCUGGUUGUUUUGUAUGAUUAAGUAUACUUGGGACAGUAAUUGAUUGCUUGUUUAUAUGAUUGAUUCUGAUUUUCUUCCACUGCAUGAUUGAAAAAAAUUCAGGGCGUAUUCAUAUCUGAUUUGGGUAGUGUUGUUUUUGUUACUUUGCUAAUCCGAACAUAGAAAGAUCAAUUCAGACCUUACAUUUCAAUUGUUAAAGAACAUGUUCUUUGUAUACCUUAUUUAUAAGUAUUUAAUUAUGUUUGUCUUUCAAUUGAUAUCUCUCUGCAUUUUGGUUGAUUAUUUUUGUACUUUCAGUAAACUGAUUGCGUGUUUACGAAGAAGAUUAAGGAUCCGGAUAAUGUGAUAUACUAAGUAGACUUCCUGUGAAGAAAGUUAUGCAAUUCAGAUGUGUAUAUCAAAGUCCUAGUUUAAGCAGAUUGAAUGAUAUCCAGUUUUUAUGAAGUCACAUCUCUCACACUCCAGAAUGUCAGGGUAUUUUUUAGAGGACCCGAGAAUUGGUGGAAGUAUUAUUAAGCUGAUCCUCUAAAAAAAACUGAUGAUUCUGUGAGUGUGACAGCAUUUCUCAGUUUAUCUCAGAUUACUGGCACCGGUGAAUCACCACGCAUGAAUCCUUUCUGUUAUACAAAAAUUCCAGGAGUGGUAAAUGGGUUACCUUAUAUCUCACAUCACUUUGAAGAUAAAGUUUGCGUCUCCAAUUCGGCCACUAGAACUGACGAAUUGGUUAGCCUCCUGAGUUAGAAAGAAGAGUGUGGGAAAUGAAAAGGAAGGGGAAGGUGAACUAGUGAUUGGAUACAGUCAGGCUACAAAUCAGCUUAAAUUCUUAUGGAAAUGGUCAAUGGGAAAAGCUUCAGACAUGAAUAAGGUUCCUGAUGGUGCAAGAGAAGUGUGGGAAGUAUUAACUGUUGGCCAGGUCACUUGGAGAAUAAUCGAAAAGCAUGCUACUAUCGUUGCAGCCGUUUUGGUAUAUGCUGGCUGUUCUUAAUUUUCGUUCAUACCUUGAUGUGCAAGAGAAGGUGAAUGAAUUAAGGUUUCAUCUGUUUCGUUGUGUACAACGAAAGCAUGCUACUACCGCCAGCGUAUUUCCUUUCGAUUGGUCAAGUAGACAGAGAAUUGAAAGUUGUUAGGAUUUUCCUGCACAGGUUUGAACUGUGCUGUCUUUUGUUCUCGAUACAGAUGUUGAAAUAGGUAUGUAUAGAUGAGUGUAGAAUCUGUAUUGAUCCAAACAUGAUCCAUAUUAUUGAUCUAGUGAUACUUGAAAUGAUUAUUAACUUUAAAACAGAAUCUAUGGGUUAUAUCCCAGUUUAGGGCCUGUCCUGGUAUGUUGAUCAUAUAAAUUGUUCAUUGUUCAUUUUUGGUCAAAAUUGUCUAUAAACAGGCAUUUAUCUGUCAAAGAACCUGUAUUAAGUUGCUUCAUGAAAAUGGGAAGGUAGAUUAAUGUUUGAUCUAGACCCUGAUUUUAGCACCGUUGUUUGUAAUGUUUAAUUUUGUUGUUGUACUAUACAGCCAAUUCGCAGAGGAAGACCGUCUAAAUAAUGGUGUGACAUUUGCAUUGAAGGUUGGCAAUAUUAAUAGAUGAUUCUCCGUGCCUACUAAAAUUUCAAUUUUGGAAAAGGCCUCGAACAAGGUGCUAUAUCUCUUUAUACUGUUGAUUUUCUUUGCAUAUCUUGAAUGAAUUUAUGCUGCAUGCAAUAUCUUGAAAUGCUUAACAAAGUUGAAUUAAACUUUUGAGUGCUUGAUGUCGAUAUGCCCGAGUUAUUAAGGAUACAGACUUGAAAUAAAUCUGUUGGGCUUCACCCGCGCAGGUUCGAUCCCUGUUGUCGACGCAAUCCUUAAUUUUUGUGUAGUGUGUAUAGUUUUUAUUAGACCGUGUGUCAGGUAUUUGUUUGAUUGCCUGCGUUUUUUACACUUUGAGAUACGACUGUAUGACAGAUCUACUAUUAAACUUAUCCAGGUGGAGCAGUUGCAGUUGCAUAAACCAGUUACCACCCCCCUUUCAUAUUGGUUGGCCUUUCAUUUUAAAAGUUGUCUGUCUUAUUAUUAAUUAUAAUAAUAUUGAUGAUUUUCAUAAAUACUUUUUAGGUGGUCUAAAGCUAUUCGCUAUCUUGCGAUUCCUAUUGUGUUACGUUAUCUAAACAUCAAUCUACCUUCCGCCAAGGAGGGUUUGAAAUUGGAGGAAAGUGAGGUUGAAAGAAGGCUGAAUCUUUGAGGGAAUAGUUUGGGAGUCUAUGCAAGGUGACAGACUAGAGAAGGUCUUUGUCUCUGAGCGUGUUGUUGAAUCUCCUAAGAAGACCGUGGAGAUCAAUCCUGAAAAGUCAAUCAUAGAGGAGCUCAGGAAGAGGGCUGACGCCGACAAGAAUUGACUAGUCUGUGAAGCUUUGGUUCUCUUGUAGUUUGAGACUGCUGUUCUUACAUCUGGUUUCAUUCUUGAAGAGCCUACCACCUUCAGGAACUGAAUCCACAAGAUGUUGAAGUUGGGUUUGUGCAUUGAUGAAGAUAGUGCUUACGCUGAAGCAAACCCGAUAGUUUUUUUCCCGAUAUCAACAUUUAAAAAGGAUUAAGGAUUGGAAGAUAGCUUUUUUCCCGAUAUCAACAUUUAAAAAUCCAACGUGCUAUACGCAAGAAAACGCAAUGGAGUUGACAAAUCUCCGAUUUGGAAACCACCAUGGUUCUUCCUUUGAAAGCAACGCAAAGAUUGUCUAGGUACAAGAGAUAUGCUAUUCCGUCCCUAUGCUAGAAGGUAUAGUCCCAGAUAUAUAGCUGAUUGUUGGGGAGUUGAAGAAUACCUGACCCAGAAAGAAAUCAAAUGGUGGUAUUAAUACCACUAGUUCAUUAAAGUUACAAAGAUUUAUAAGCACAAGAGGAAGAGGCCCGUUGAAGUUGUUAAAAUUUAAAGUUAUGAAGUC